This 356-nucleotide long non-coding RNA is filed under the name Hordeum vulgare. Its description in RNAcentral is "long non-coding RNA (HVUL_LNC020003)". The record is from RNAcentral. Lineage: Eukaryota; Viridiplantae; Streptophyta; Magnoliopsida; Poales; Poaceae.
ACUAGAACAGUUCUGUGGCAUGAGGCAACAUUGAAGUAGCUUGUUAUUAACACUUUUGUUGCCGCUUGCACAUUUGCAAAGCAACACAUAGCAGUAUGGCGCAAAGGCAGAGAAUUGAAGGAACACAGUGAACACUGAUGCCUGUUUGUCAGACAUGCCACCUAUGGCCAGCGUGAGUCGGAGGUAGACGCUAUAAUAAUAACAACAUGCUCGGUGUAAACUUUGUUCUUAGCUGGUAUGCAAAUCAAAACAUUCUUGAGGUUUUCGUGCAACUCAGAUGUCUGAUGUUACAGUAUUGUUGCUUGAGGUGACAAUUAGAUAUGGAGUAUAAAUUUCUAUGCCACUACAGCAGUGAC